ACAUCUGAAGGAGAUUAAAGAUUUAUCGGUGAUGGAUGGGGAUGCGUCUGAUUAGCUUGUUGGCGGGGUAACGGCCCACCAAGGCGACGAUCAGUAGGGGUUCUGAGAGGAAGGUCCCCCACAUUGGAACUGAGACACGGUCCAAACUCCUACGGGAGGCAGCAGUGAGGAAUAUUGGUCAAUGGGCGAGAGCCUGAACCAGCCAAGUAGCGUGCAGGAUGACGGCCCUAUGGGUUGUAAACUGCUUUUAUAAGGGAAUAAAGUGAGUCUCGUGAGACUUUUUGCAUGUACCUUAUGAAUAAGGACCGGCUAAUUCCGUGCCAGCAGCCGCGGUAAUACGGAAGGUCCGGGCGUUAUCCGGAUUUAUUGGGUUUAAAGGGAGCGUAGGCCGGAGAUUAAGCGUGUUGUGAAAUGUAGAUGCUCAACAUCUGCACUGCAGCGCGAACUGGUUUCCUUGAGUACGCACAAAGUGGGCGGAAUUCGUGGUGUAGCGGUGAAAUGCUUAGAUAUCACGAAGAACUCCGAUUGCGAAGGCAGCUCACUGGAGCGCAACUGACGCUGAAGCUCGAAAGUGCGGGUAUCGAACAGGAUUAGAUACCCUGGUAGUCCGCACGGUAAACGAUGGAUGCCCGCUGUUGGUCUGAAUAGGUCAGCGGCCAAGCGAAAGCAUUAAGCAUCCCACCUGGGGAGUAC
Molecule: ribosomal RNA, 693 nt
Filed under: uncultured bacterium
Lineage: Bacteria
Description: bacterial SSU rRNA
Rfam family: Bacterial small subunit ribosomal RNA
Source: RNAcentral